AUGGACUGGGCUCCCUUCUACCUUCUACCCUUUAUUAUUGUCACAGGUUUCUGUGAUCUGCCUGUGCUGACUCAGCCUCCAUCUGCAUCUGCCUCCCUGGGAGCCUCUGUCAAGCUCACCUGCACCCUGGGCAGGGAGCAAAACACUGGUUCACUGGUAUCACAGGAUACCGGUGAACUGAUUGUUCACUGCUAUCAACAGGAACCAGGGAAGGCCCCUCGGUAUUUGAUGAAGGUUAAUAGUGACGGAAGCCACAGUAAGGGGAAUGGGAUCCCCAGUCCCUUCUCAGGAUCCAGCUCUGGGGUUGACCACUAUUUAACCAUCUCUGACAUCCAGUCUGAGGAUGAGGCUGAGUAUUACUGUGGUGACAGCCAUAAAAUCGAUGGUCAAUAUGGUUAA
Molecule: non-coding RNA, 399 nt
Organism: Neogale vison (American mink)
Lineage: Eukaryota; Metazoa; Chordata; Mammalia; Carnivora; Mustelidae
Source: the annotation of a RefSeq genome assembly